This 2791-nucleotide long non-coding RNA is filed under the name Homo sapiens (human). RNAcentral describes it as "HSALNT0408417". The record is from RNAcentral. Lineage: Eukaryota; Metazoa; Chordata; Mammalia; Primates; Hominidae.
AGUAUUCCAGCCGAGCUGGGGCGUCAGCAGUCUCGAGUUUGAGCACGAAGUAGCGCCUGUGCCCAUGCUUCUGUUUCCGCAGGUAGCCGCGUUUGCAGACUUCCUCCCCGACGGGCAGGUCCUCCUCUUCGGACUCGGAGUCUGACCGGGAGCCAGUGGCCGUGGAGAGCCACAUGGCUCCCGGACAAGACGACCCGGUCCCAAUGAGUGCGGUCGGGGUUCCCGAGGAAAGAAGCGGGGUGGUCACCACUGCUGCUAGAGCUGCCGCUGCCGCCGCUGCUGCACCUCUUAGUCUUCUUGUCGCUUGGUCGCGAGUGAAGGAGCAACUCGCCAUGGUGAUGCACGAUGGUUUUAAGUCUGGUUCAUUCUUUCCAGCCGCACAAGGCGGCGGAUCGAGCUUCUUGGGAGAAAGUGUCGGCACCCCCUGAAAACGGGUUGACGACCAGGGCGCUCAGAACUGCUUCCCACCGCUCUGCAGGCACUCCCGAGCCCGCUGCACCCCUGACAGAAGCCCGCGACUCUGAGGCACACGAAUAACAGCGAUGCAUUCAAAAUGAACAUGAUCUUUAUUAAUCAGAAUGCACUUCUAGCCCACGAAACACAGGUUCCCUAAAUACAGUGUUUCUGCCUAUUUGAUUAACGAUGACUAUGAAAGCACAAAUUUGGGGGCCUGCAAUGUAUACAGCCAUAUUGGAAAAAAUUGGACUCGAUUCUUACUGAAAUAACCAGUGUUGGGCUGUGAAGGUAUUUUUCUGUGGGAAAUGCUUUGGAAGGUGCCUUUAAAAGAAUCUCAAAAUAUUGCUUUCCUUUCCUUGAGCGAGACCGAAAAACUUUAGAAAAAGAAAAGCUCAUACCUAGAACAAAGGACCACGCUGAAUGCAUAUUCUAGAGCACAUUUCACAUCCCUCGCGUCAACAAGAAGAAGAAGAGGAGCUUUGAUGCAUUUCAGUCUACAAGUUGACAUCACAAAAGUAAGAACUACUGCCUCCCUCAUUUCUGGAAAAACUGCCGGAGUGUAAGUGCAACCUCCUCAAGUCUCUCUCUCUCUCUCCCUCUCCUUCUCCCUUUCCCUCUCCCUCUCCCUCUCUCCCCCACCACCCCAGUUAUUACUUGACUAGGAUUUUAGACUCUUAAUGGUGGAGAUGGGUCGUGAAUUAUCAAAGGAGUGACCAGGUUUGCAAAGAGGAAUGGAGGGAGAGGAGGAGAGAAAUACAGCAUUUCUCUCUGAAAGAAUGGAAUGUCAGUUCACCCUUGCUCUAGGGUUGAUAUGGCAAAGGGUACUAUUUAUAAAAUCCAACAGUAAACUAGGCAAUAUGUAUAUCAUAAAAAUAAACCAUAUUUCUGCCCUCUUAAGAAUUUGCUCUGUUAGAAACAGAACACACGUAUUUGAAUAAAUGGCUCCUUUUUGAUGCUAUAAUUUAAGAGAAAAAGAAAUUGGUUUGGGUUGUCCCCCAGAUAUUACAAAUAUUCAAUAACAUUCCCUCUGCUGCCAAUGGUUUAUAAGUGCAAUAUAUUCACAGGUGCUGGAAGCAGCCGUGGUUUCGGAAGGGAGCUAGAGGCAGAACGAGUGUGGAUGCUGAGAGAUCCCUGACUGUGACUGCUACAUAUUUCAGCUGCGUAGUCACAUAUAUACAAGAUUCCCUGCACUUACAACCAAAAUGAUAACAAAUGCUCUCAUUUGGGAUUUUGUUUGAUAGUCAUUAGGAUAUUUUAUAAGUCUUUCCAAGCACAAGGUUUUUUUCUUUUUUUUUUUAAAGAGAAAUGUGACAAAUAAGGCAACAUAUUUGAAAGUGCUUUGAGUAAUAACAUGACAUUGAAAAUAUCAAAAUGAAUAUUAAAUGAAAUGGGAAAAUACUGGAGAUUUUUAAAUCCUCAUGUCCUUUUUCCUGUACAUAUAGUUUUUACAUAGAGCAGUAGGCUUACAAUUUAUAUAAUUUUGCAUCCUGUUCUUUUCACUGAACAUUAUACAAUAUUUCCCCAUAUUAUUAUGCAUCAGCAUAAAUAUCAUUUAAAAUACAACAUAUUAUCCAACACAAUCGAUGAAUAUUAAUGUAAUUAAUCAUCUGCUUUGGGGCAUUUAGGUUGUUUUCAUUUUUUUCAGUAUUAUAAAUAACAUGUCAAUGAAUAUCUUCUACCUACAGCCUUUUAAAAUUCCCAUUGGGUAAAAACUGAGCACUGGAAUUAGUAGGCUAAAAGAUAUGAAUAUUUAAUACAUUAUUUUUCAAAAAUAUUAUAUUAGUUUACCCUGUCACCAGACUGAUUGUCAGCAUUGGACAUUCUUAUUUUUAAAAAAUUAGAGAUAAGAUGGGUGAAACGGUAUUCCACUAUUCUUUUUUUUUUUUUUUUUGAGAUGGAGUCUCAUCCUGUCACCGAGGCUGGAGUGCAGUGACGUGAUCUCAGCUCCCUGCAACCUCGGUCUCCCGGGUUCAAGCAAUUCUCCUGCCUCAGCCUCCCAAGUAGCUGGGAUUACAAGUGCCCGCCACCAUGCCCAGCUAUUUUUUGUAUUUUUAGUAGAGAAGGGUUUUCACCAUGUUGGCCAGGCUAGUCUCGAACUCCUGACCUUGUGAUCCACCUGCCUCAGCCUCCCAAAGUGCUGGGAUUACAGGCCUGAGCUACUGCACCUGGCCUCCACUAUUCUUUCAAUGUGCUUUUUUUUUUUAACUAGUGAGAUUAAACAUUUAUAUAUAUUCACUGACAUUAUAUUAUUUCCUAUGUCCUUUGUGUUGUCUAUUGUAUUCUUAGUAUUUUCUUCUUAUGUGUAACUUGUUUAUGUAAUAAAUACAUUAAAACU